Molecule: unclassified non-coding RNA, 240 nt
Filed under: soil metagenome
Description: partial contains 5.8S ribosomal RNA, internal transcribed spacer 2, and large subunit ribosomal RNA
Source: RNAcentral
AACCAUAGAAACCUGCGGAGUACCUGCGGAAGGAUCAUUAAUAGAGUGUAACCCCCCCUGUAAAAAAAAGGGGGUAACCUCCCGUCCUUUGCUGGUCCCCUAUUUGGGGGGUCUUUUAUUUUGACUUUGCUUCGGUGGGGUAAUCCACCGGAACACCCUUAAAAAUUCUUGAUUUUAAAAAUUGUUCAGUCCGAGAUUAUAUUUUAAACAAAUUGAAAACUUUCAGCAACGGAUCUCAGA